UACGAAGGGUGCAAACGUUGCUCGGAAUUAUUGGGCGUAAAGCGCACGUAGGCGGUUUGUCAAGUCAGGCGUGAAAGCCCCGGGCUCAACCUGGGAACCGCGCUUGAGACUGGCAGGCUCGAGUUCGGGAGAGGAUGGUGGAAUUCCCAGUGUAGAGGUGAAAUUCGUAGAUAUUGGGAAGAACACCCGUGGCGAAGGCGGCCAGCUGGGCCGUCCCUGACGCUGAGGCGCGAAGGCGUGGGGAGCGAACGGG
This 253-nucleotide ribosomal RNA is filed under the name uncultured bacterium. RNAcentral's name for it is "partial 16S ribosomal RNA". It matches the Rfam family "Bacterial small subunit ribosomal RNA", at positions 524 to 776 of the family's 1533-position model. The record is from RNAcentral.